UGCCAAGCAGCCGCGGUAAUUCCAGCUCCAAUAGCGUAUAUUAAAGUUGUUGUGGUUAAAAAGCUCGUAGUUGGAUCUCGGCGGACUGAGGGCGGUUUGCUUGCUAGUAUUACUGCCCUAUAGUCCGUAGUUUUGCCAGAGGUUUCGGGGUGCUCUUAAUCGAGUGUCCCGGGAUGCUGGCAGGUUUACUUUGAAAAAAUUAGAGUGCUCAAAGCAGGCUAUUACGCCUGAAUAUUCGUGCAUGGAAUAAUAGAAUAGGAAGUCGUUUCUAUUUUGUUGGUUUUCGGAAAUCGACUUAAUGAUUAAUAGGGACAGUCGGGGGCAUUUGUAUUCAAACGACAGAGGUGAAAUUCUUGGACCGUUUGAAGACAAACUACUGCGAAAGCAUUUGCCAAGAAUGUUUUCAUUAAUCAAGAACGAAAGUUAAAGGUUCGAAGGCGAUUAGAUACCGCCCUAGUUUUAACCAUAAACGAUGCCAGCUAGCGAUCUGCGGACGUUUUUUUUGUAGACUCCGCAGGAGGCUUCCGGGAAACCAAAGCAUUUGGGUUCCAGGGGAAGUAUGGUUGCAAAGCUGAAACUUAAAGGAAUUGACGGAAGGGCACCACCAGGAGUGGAGCCUGUGGCUUAAUUUGACUCAACACGGGAAAUCUCACCAGGCCCGGACACUGGAAGGAUUGACAGAUUGAUAGCUCUUUCUUGAUUCGGUGGGUGGUGGUGCAUGGCCGUUCUUAGUUGGUGGAGUGAUUUGUCUGGUUAAUUCCGAUAACGAACGAGACUCUGUCCUGCUAAAUAGUGUCUGCUUCUCUUUUGAGCAGACAAUUCUUCUUAGAGGGACUGGCGACUCUUAGUCGCACGAGAUUGAGCAAUAACAGGUCUG
Molecule: ribosomal RNA, 877 nt
Filed under: uncultured eukaryote
Lineage: Eukaryota
Description: SSU rRNA
Rfam family: Eukaryotic small subunit ribosomal RNA
Source: RNAcentral